This 201-nucleotide long non-coding RNA is filed under the name Panax ginseng (ginseng). RNAcentral describes it as "long non-coding RNA (PGIN_LNC004427)". The record is from RNAcentral. Lineage: Eukaryota; Viridiplantae; Streptophyta; Magnoliopsida; Apiales; Araliaceae.
UCGAGCGAAAGGUUGUCUAGGAUCAGGAAAAGGCAUAGUAUAAGUACUGUUUUAAUAUAUGUGUUCUAUGAUAAGUAUGUCUGUGUAAUAGUAUAUUUCCAACUUUUGUAUAAGUUGCAACGAAUCCCGACUUUGGUGGUCACAAAGGGAUAUCAAAGGCUUAAGGCAGUAUGUGCUAUGCUAUGUACUAUGAAAUAGUUG